Molecule: ribosomal RNA, 497 nt
Filed under: uncultured bacterium
Lineage: Bacteria
Description: partial 16S ribosomal RNA
Rfam family: Bacterial small subunit ribosomal RNA
Source: RNAcentral
GAUGAACGCUGGCGGCGUGCCUAAUACAUGCAAGUCGAGCGAACGGACCAGAAGCUUGCUUCUCUGAUGUUAGCGGCGGACGGGUGAGUAACACGUGGAUAACCUACCUAUAAGACUGGGAUAACUUCGGGAAACCGGAGCUAAUACCGGAUAAUAUUUUGAACCGCAUGGUUCAAAAGUGAAAUACGGUCUUGCUGUCACUUAUAGAUGGAUAUGCGCUGCAUUAGCUAGUUGGUAAGGUAACGGGUUACCAAGGCAACGAUGCAUAGCCGACCUGAGAGGGUGAUCGCCCACCUUGUAAGUGAGAAACAGUCCAGACUCCUACGGUAAGCAGCAGUAGGGAAUCUUACGCAAUGCACCAAAGCCUAACAUAGCAACGCCGCGUAAGUGAUGAAGGACCUCUGAUCGUAAAACUCUGUUAUUAGUAAAGAACAAAUGUUUAAUUAACUGUGCACAUCUUGACGGUACCUAAUCAAAAAGCCACGGCUAACUACGUG